AAAAUUAAAAAUGGCUGAAAGUUGAAGCAGUCUUAUUUUGUGCAGGUAACCCUUCAAUAAUGUUUAGAGACAUUCUUCCUGUUUGCCCAAGCUGUCUGCUGUAGCAAUGUAUCUGUUUGCAGUUUAAAUUCAGUGUUUUAUGAAUUAGCAAUCAUUAUUGAUCACAUUUACUAUAUUUAGUUCUAUUUUUUGUUUUGUACAACCUAUUGAAUAGAAA
This is a long non-coding RNA of Amphimedon queenslandica, 217 nucleotides long. RefSeq lists it as uncharacterized. NCBI's taxonomy places the organism in Eukaryota, Metazoa, Porifera, Demospongiae, Haplosclerida, Niphatidae. The transcript is spliced from 2 exons. The record is from RefSeq and is a predicted model, not a curated record.